GUGCCAGCCGCCGCGGUAAUACGUAGGUGGCAAGCGUUGUCCGGAUUUAUUGGGCGUAAAGCGAGCGCAGGCGGUUUCUUAAGUCUGAUGUGAAAGCCUUCGGCUCAACCGAAGAAGUGCAUCGGAAACUGGGAAACUUGAGUGCAGAAGAGGACAGUGGAACUCCAUGUGUAGCGGUGAAAUGCGUAGAUAUAUGGAAGAACACCAGUGGCGAAGGCGGCUGUCUGGUCUGUAACUGACGCUGAGGCUCGAAAGCAUGGGUAGCAAACAGGAUUAGAUACCCUGGUAGUCCAUGCCGUAAACGAUGAGUGCUAGGUGUUGGAGGGUUUCCGCCCUUCAGUGCCGCAGCUAACGCAUUAAGCACUCCGCCUGGGGAGUACGACCGCAAGGUUGAAACUCAAAGGAAUUGACGGGGGCCCGCACAAGCGGUGGAGCAUGUGGUUUAAUUCGAAGCAACGCGAAGAACCUUACCAGGUCUUGACAUCCUUUGACCACUCUAGAGAUAGAGCUUUCCCUUCGGGGACAAAGUGACAGGUGGUGCAUGGUUGUCGUCAGCUCGUGUCGUGAGAUGUUGGGUUAAGUCCCGCAACGAGCGCAACCCUUAUUACUAGUUGCCAGCAUUAGGUUGGGCACUCUAGUGAGACUGCCGGUGACAAACCGGAGGAAGGUGGGGACGACGUCAAAUCAUCAUGCCCCUUAUGACCUGGGCUACACACGUGCUACAAUGGAUGGUACAACGAGUUGCGAGACCGCGAGGUUUAGCUAAUCUCUUAAAACCAUUCUCAGUUCGGAUUGUAGGCUGCAACUCGCCUACAUGAAGCCGGAAUCGCUAGUAAUCGCGGAUCAGCAUGCCGCGGUGAAUACGUUCCCGGGCCUUGUACACACCGCCCGU
Molecule: ribosomal RNA, 892 nt
Filed under: uncultured bacterium
Lineage: Bacteria
Description: bacterial SSU rRNA
Rfam family: Bacterial small subunit ribosomal RNA
Source: RNAcentral